RNAcentral lists this long non-coding RNA (1236 nucleotides) under Homo sapiens (human). Its description in RNAcentral is "HSALNT0301861". The record is from RNAcentral. Lineage: Eukaryota; Metazoa; Chordata; Mammalia; Primates; Hominidae.
CCUUACCGUUGGCUAUCUUAGCUCGAUGUGCUAAUCAAGUUCCCCCUAAUUUGACAUACUAGAAUCUAAUACUAGAGGCAGCAUGACAUUAUUAUGGGGGAGGAGGUUGAGAAGCACUAACCUCGAAGUUAGAAUUUCUGGUUUGUCAUCCCAGUCUGCUAAUUAGCUUUCUGAUUUAAGACAAAAUACUUUUUCUGUGCCUUCUGGGGGUCAAAUUCGAUUUUUAAGAUUCUCUCAGUUGGAAGAAAUCUAACUAAAAAUAUACUUAAAAUAAUUCUUUGGUAGUAUAUUAUUUUGAAAUUUGGUCCAGAAUCCUAUUUGUUUAUUCCUGUAGUAUACAUACGUCUGUAGUUACCCAGUAGUCUUUGUUGUCUUUGGGCCAUCUAAAGUAUAUUUGGGCUGGGCAUGGUGUCUCACACCUGUAAUUUCAACACUUUGGAAGGCCAAGAUAGGGUCUCGCUGUGUUGCCAAGGCUGAUCUCAAACUUCUGGCCUCAAACAAACCUCCUGCCUUAACCUUCCAAAGUGCUGGGGUUAUAGAUGAGCCACUGUGCCCCGCCAUGGAGUCAUGUGAUACACAUAGUAAGCUGUCAGAUAUUUUUGAUAAGUUCAAAUAGACACCAAGUAAAAAAAGAUUCCCAUUUAUUCUCCCCAGCUUGCCAACCCCCUAAAUUAAGUAAUGAAAUGAAACCAGCACCUUUUCAGUAUAUCUGACUUAAAAUCAUUAUUUAUUCUGACCCAUUUAACUGUUUGCAGGAUUUUUUCCCUAGAGCAGACAGCUAUAGGCCUGUAUCAUUAAGGAUUCUCAAAUAAGUGAACUAUUGAAACCACAUAAAAGCCAUCAGUUGCAAAUUCUACUUCUCUUUGUUUAAGUAGCUAAAAAUGAAAGUGGUGGAAAAAACAGGAGAUAAGCAUAUUAAGUUCUCUACUAGUGCUGAAUCUUUAAAUGACUAGCUAAGCAGCGAAGAAGAAAUCAUUCUAGAAUGCAGUGCUCUGGAUCCUGCUUUGUUAUAAACAGUUAUAAUAGCAUUAAGUUAACAGUAUUUCACUUAAACAGCUGGACAGGUGGAGAAAACAUUGUUUCAGGAGUUAGGCUUUGUAAUCUUAGACUUGAGGGUUUUCUCAAUUUCUCUUUGUUUAUGAUAAAGAAAAACCCUAUUACUACUCCCUUUGUUUUUGGUUAAAAACUGAAAAUAACUGAUUUUGAAAUCAAAUAAACCAGUGUAAUAUAAAGCCA